UCUUCCUGAGUCUUCUUACCCUCCUCCACCAUCAUUAAUCCUCUCUACUCCUCAUGGAGAUCAGAACUCCAAAAAUCCCCAAAAUGAAAAACCAUUCCGGGACUGGGAUAUCCUUGCCUGGUCCAUCAUCUCCCUACCACGUUUUGGUUGGCAAGAAAAUCAACCAUGCAUGUCAGUAACACAGACCUUAAUGGUUUCCCGAAACGGAAAAUUUAGGGAAAAGAUGAUCUUUUGUUUUUAUGUUUUCAUUUGGAAAUAAAGCUAGGGAAUUGCUCUAUCAUGAACUACUGCCACUAAAUCUAGCUCCUCUUCUUUUUUAUAGCUCAAGUGAGAAAUUUCCUUGAUGCUACUACUGGUAGGAAAUUUGGUGAAAAUCAUCAAGUAUUCCACUCACUCUCUCUCCUCUCCAGUUAAAAAAGGAUUUAGGGUUUCAAUCUCGCCACCAUCCUAAAGAGUUUUCCAUCUGUUUUUUGUGGUUCAAGGAAGAGGAAUUUUUGUUUAGAGAUCUUGAGCUUUUUGAGUGUUUCUUGAUGGAGAAAGUUGGAAAAGACUGGGUUUAUGAGGUGUUAAAAGCGGCUACUAUCCUGUUACAUUGUGCCAGCGGUUUCUUCUUCAUCGUUCAAGCUUUCGCUAUAAUUAUAAGCGAUGAUCUACUUCCUGAACACAGCUCGGUGGUGCUCCUUCGGGUAUUUUAUGCUUCUUUAAUUUGCAACUUGGUAGGCGUGUUUUGUGUCAAUCCUUCAUCUCAUCUUGAAUACCACUCGUUCAAGAAGUUUAUCCACGUCAUCAGUACUGUAUCGUCUUCUUUUUUUAUGGUACUUGGUUGUCGCCUCUGGAUAUUAUCAUUCACAGCCCAGCAUCCUUGAGCCUUCCGAUGUUAGUUAAUUUUUGGUUGUCUUUUCAAUCAGAGAUUAAGGCCGAUAUGUAAAUGCGUGUUCACCCUUUUUACUUUGUUGCAACACAGACUUGGUGCUAUAAACUUUGAUGAAUAUUUGUAGUAUGUAUUAUGUCAUAUGACCCAUCUAGUAGCUAGCUAGAUGCUGCAUGUGUUAAUUUGCAGGUACUUCCCUUUUUCUUUUUCAAUCUUUGUGAAAAAGACAUGGUGUACUUGUAAGAAUCCUUGAUUCUCAAGGAUAUCAAUUUCAAUCUUUGUGUGUUGUUUCACUUUA
Papaver somniferum (opium poppy) is the source of this 1169-nucleotide long non-coding RNA. RefSeq lists it as uncharacterized. The record is from RefSeq and is a predicted model, not a curated record. The transcript has 2 exons. Lineage: Eukaryota; Viridiplantae; Streptophyta; Magnoliopsida; Ranunculales; Papaveraceae.